ACACUGACGUCGCGACGCAUAUCAAUAAGCGGAGGAAAAGAAACUAACAAGGAUUCCCUUAGUAACGGCGAGUGAAGCGGGAAGAGCUCAAAUUUGAAAUCUUCAAGGUUUUACCUUGACGAAUUGUAGUUUAAAGAAGUGUUUUCUGCUGAAGUUUUGGUAAAAGUUCUUUGGAAUAGGACAUCAUAGAGGGUGAGAAUCCCGUAUUUGACCAUUAUUUUCAGCUUUGUGAUACACUUUCAAAGAGUCGGAUUGUUUGGGAAUGCAGUCCAAAAUGGGUGGUAAAUUUCAUCUAAAGCUAAAUAUUGGCGAGAGACCGAUAGCGAACAAGUACCGUGAGGGAAAGAUGAAAAGAACUUUGAAAAGAGAGUUAAACAGUACGUGAAAUUGUCAAAAGGGAAGCGUUUGACACCAGUGUUGUUUUCUCGAAAAUCAAUUAAAAAUGGCUCGAUUUUGUAUUGUUGAGACCUUAAAAGCUCACUGUACAUUUUUCGUGUCUUUUUUAAUGCACUUUUCGUUUAACAAGUCAACAUCAGUUUCUUUUGUUGUAAAAGAGUCAUUGGAAGGUGGCUUUCUUUUCGGAGAAAGUGUUUAUAGCCUUUGACUUCUGCAAUCGGAGAGAUUGAGGUCUGCAGCGUAGAUCCUUCGGGGUUAGAUGCAUUUGUGCUAAGUUAUAGCCUUUCAUAGACAACUUGUUGACUGUGAUCAGUCAUGUAGCUUACUCGCUUAUGUCAUUUUACCUACGCUUAGGAUGUUGAGCGCAUGUCUCUCUCU
Molecule: ribosomal RNA, 774 nt
Filed under: uncultured Neocallimastigales
Lineage: Eukaryota; Fungi; Neocallimastigomycota; Neocallimastigomycetes; Neocallimastigales
Description: partial large subunit ribosomal RNA
Rfam family: Eukaryotic large subunit ribosomal RNA
Source: RNAcentral